RNAcentral lists this unclassified non-coding RNA (2596 nucleotides) under Dimorphilus gyrociliatus. RNAcentral's name for it is "dgyrCDS4125". The record is from RNAcentral. Lineage: Eukaryota; Metazoa; Annelida; Polychaeta; Dinophilidae.
UAAAAUGUAAAUGAAUGUUUGUGUAUGUAUCUGAUUGACAUAUGUUCGAUAUCUCACGCUCUUCGUGCCAGGUACCGCAAAUCUCUACCUAUUGACGCAAACAAAAUCUGCAAAUUUAAGGCCUUAUUCAUCUAAUUCUUGGUUACGCUCUUAAUUCAAAACAUGUCUUUAACUAUCAAAUUUGCUAUAUUUUUCUCCUUUUGCUUAAUUGCAAACGCCUAUCCAGGAAAUCCGUUUCGUAAGGAAAAUGACAGCUGUAGACCAAAUAAUCAAUGCCAAGCAGUUGGACAAGUUUGUUGCUGGGAAUUGGAUCAAUCCAUUGGAUGCUGUGAAAAAAACUUUAAAUGCUGCCCUUCGCUUAGUGGAGAUCGUCACAAUUGCUGUCCGGUAAAAGAGUCCGAAUGCAACAACAAUAAUGGAGCGUCUUGCUAUCUUUUGAAAACAGUUUUAAAGAAAACUGGAAAAACUUCAGUAAAAGAGGAUUGAUUUUAAAACAAAAAGUCUAAUAGAAAAAAAGAGAGAGAGAGGCCAUGGCUUGAUUUUUAUCUAAAAUAGAAUAAAAAAGAUUGAACAAGACUCUACAGAUAUUUCUAUCCCGUCUCUCUCUCUCUCUCUCUCCCUCUCUGUCUCCCUCUUUUGAUUGCUAACAUAUGUGAGGGGUACACUCAUUUAUUUGCUGUACUCUCCUUCAUCGUAAUUUUUCUACUCUUACUCCUACUCCUACUCCUGCACAACAACUAAUUUUUACUUAAACUAUCUUUUUAUUCUCUUAAAAAAGAGAUAGAAAACAGUUAAAGGAAGAAAUAAAUGAUCAAGUUUUCUAUUCCUUUUUUGACUGAAUGAAAUACAAAAGUUUCGAUUGGUAGAAGGUCUUUAGGCCUCAUUUAAAUAUCAGUUUAUAUAUAUAUUAUAUAUAAAUAAUAAAAAUAUAGCUUUAAUUUUAUCUUUAAUCUUAUUUUUAAAAUAUUUUUUAUAUCUAAAUAAAAGAACCGAGUCUUUUGAUUUGUUCAUUUUUCUCUAUCUUUCCUCUCUCUCUCUCUCUCUCUAUCUCUCGUCUUGAGCUCUUUCAAAUUCAACUUUCUAUCAAGUUUAUAUGCUAUCUAUAUUUUAAGUAUCCGCAUUAAAAACAAGAAGCUAAAAAAACAGGUUAUGCAAUCUUUUCGUCCUAUUCCUCCUACUUGUCUUAGUCAUUCCUAAUCCAAUCUAUGUUACCAUGACAAAGAGUCGGCCUAGGAUAAAACUGAACUGAAAUAUAGAUGCCUAGAAAUUAUAGUUCAAUAGUAAAAUCUGACGAAAAGAAAGAGAAGUGUAACAAGCGGGAUAGACAAUGAUCUAUGGAGAUAAAAGAUGGCUCUUUGAUACAUUCUCUCCAAGACUAUAAAUAGGUAUGUAUCAUACGGUAUGUAUGUAUAUUUAUUUGGCUUGUUGAUAUAGUAAAAACUAAACGGGAGCGCAAAGUGGAAACUUUAACUGCGUCGCCUAGUCGUUAAGUGAUAAAAAUAGCAGAUGUCGCAUUACAUGUACCUAAUUUUUGUACGCUUUUUUUUCCAAAUAUACAUCAUUUUGACCCAGAUUUUAAAUAUGAAUAAAUUCUGAUGUAACGAUGAUAGCUAUCUUAUUAUUUCCUCAACUCUUAUUCUGGAAACUAGUUCUUCCGAUUUCCCUUUCUUUUUCUUUGCAUUUAGAGAAAUCCAGCUAAUAAAAUGUUUUCAAAAGCAAUCCUACUGUUCUUUUUACUCUUUUGCUUCUUCUUCUCUCUUCACCAAGCAAGGAUGAUUAGCAAUUUACAAGAAACCACUCCACAAUUUGGUAAUUGCAGGUAAGCGUGAACAGCUUGAAUGAAUGAACGAUUCAGACAAUUAAUUGAACGAAAUUGAUAAAUAUAAGAUAGAACCAAUUGUAAAUCCAUUUUUGGAUUAAAAUACUCUUUUCCCCUCGGCUAUUCCCUAUUAUAGACCAGACAACACUUGCUCGAUACAAGGUGAAAUUUGCUGUUGGGAAAGCAAUACAGUUAGCGGUUGUUGUGAAACCGGAUAUAAAUGUUGCCCCUCCCAAUCAGGAAGUGCGCACGAUUGUUGCCCAGAAAGUGAUGAAACUUGUCAAGGAUCGCAAUGCUAUUUGGCCAAAGUUUAUAAAAAUUACAAUUAAUAAAGGAUAAGAAAAAGGGAAGAGAAGAUAAGGAAGAAAAUGAAGAAGAAGAAGAAGAAAAACAGCAAUAAUAUUUAAAACCAAACCAAAUAAAAUAUGAUGAUAAUUUUAGAAUUGGAAUUUUAUUGAUUUUUAAGGAUUUUCUCUCUUUCCUCUCCUCUUUUUCUCUUCUCUCUUUUAUUUGUUUUACAUUUUUCACAUCAAUACGCUUUUUCAUUAAAAUAAAUACAAUUUAGUUAAAUAAAACAAUCCUUCAGUCUUCGCCUAUCCAUCUAUUUAAGUGAUUUUGAUAUCUUCUUUAUCAUCUUCAUUCUUCUUUCAUAUUAAUGGAGGAAGGGAGAGGGAAUAAAUCAAAGUAAUCUUAUUAAAUAUGAACGCUUGGAAGGGAAAAACAAAUAUUCAACAGAUGGUAAAGAAUAAAUUAAACUAGUGGGUGUGUUCAGGGCAG